RNAcentral lists this unclassified non-coding RNA (505 nucleotides) under Hevea brasiliensis (rubber tree). The record is from RNAcentral. Lineage: Eukaryota; Viridiplantae; Streptophyta; Magnoliopsida; Malpighiales; Euphorbiaceae.
GUUGGUCCCUAGAUUUUGACAAUUUUAUUAGUUAAUCCAUAAGAUUAUAUAUUGUCUACAAAAUGAUCUAUUUGUCUAUUCAUCUUACAUUUAGCCGUUAGUCAUUGAUGAAAAGACUAAUUACACUUAUGCCUCACUGGUAGAAUUUUUUCUUUAGGGAUUUUUUGGAUAGCUUUAAGAAUUAAAUUAGGAAAAUUAAGGUGUAAUUGUAAUAUUGUAAUUAUAAAUAAUUGAAAUUGAAAAAGAAAUACAUAGAAUGGUAAAAAUUAAUUAUAUAACAUAUUGAAUUGUAUAUGGUCUUCUAACAUAGUAACAGAAACUAUGAUCAUUACAUGAGAUCUGAGACAAGAAAGAUUAACUGAUGGAAUUAGGGAAUGAGACAAGCUGCAGGAAAAAGUAAAAAAGGUCAUAGUUCGAAAUACUCAUGGACAUUUUGAAUUAUAUAGGGCCAUUUGAUACCAUACGGAAUUUUAUAAUUUACAGGGCCAUGAGGAGCUUGAUGCUG